Molecule: ribosomal RNA, 960 nt
Filed under: uncultured bacterium
Lineage: Bacteria
Description: bacterial SSU rRNA
Rfam family: Bacterial small subunit ribosomal RNA
Source: RNAcentral
ACGCUAGCGAUAGGCUUAACACAUGCAAGUCGAGGGGCAGCAUGAUCUUAGCUUGCUAAGGUUGAUGGCGACCGGCGCACGGGUGCGUAACGCGUAUGCAACUUGCCUUACAGAGGGGGAUAACCCGUUGAAAGACGGACUAAAACCGCAUACACUUGUAUUAUUGCAUGAUAUUACAAGGAAAUAUUUAUAGCUGUAAGAUAGGCAUGCGUCCCAUUAGCUGGUUGGUGAGGUAACGGCUCACCAAGGCGACGAUGGGUAGGGGAACUGAGAGGUUUAUCCCCCACACUGGUACUGAGACACGGACCAGACUCCUACGGGAGGCAGCAGUGAGGAAUAUUGGUCAAUGGGCGAGAGCCUGAACCAGCCAAGUCGCGUGAAGGAAGACAGUCCUAAGGAUUGUAAACUUCUUUUAUACGGGAAUAACGGGCGAUACGAGUAUUGCAUUGAAUGUACCGUAAGAAUAAGCAUCGGCUAACUCCGUGCCAGCAGCCGCGGUAAUACGGAGGAUGCGAGCGUUAUCCGGAUUUAUUGGGUUUAAAGGGUGCGUAGGUUGUUCGGUAAGUCAGCGGUGAAACCUGAGCGCUCAACGUUCAGCCUGCCGUUGAAACUGCCGGGCUUGAGUUCAGUGGCGGCAGGCGGAAUUCGUGGUGUAGCGGUGAAAUGCAUAGAUAUCACGAGGAACUCCGAUUGCGAAGGCAGCUUGCCAUACUGCGACUGACACUGAAGCACGAAGGCGUGGGUAUCAAACAGGAUUAGAUACCCUGGUAGUCCACGCAGUAAACGAUGAUUACUAGGAGUUUGCGAUAUACCGUCAAGCUUCCACAGCGAAAGCGUUAAGUAAUCCACCUGGGGAGUACGCCGGCAACGGUGAAACUCAAAGGGAAUUGACGGGGGCCCGCACAAGCGGAGGAACAUGUGGUUUAAUUCGAUGAUACGCGAGAAACCUUACCCGGGAUU